This 1454-nucleotide ribosomal RNA is filed under the name uncultured organism. Its description in RNAcentral is "SSU rRNA". It matches the Rfam family "Bacterial small subunit ribosomal RNA". The record is from RNAcentral.
UAAUACAUGCAAGUAGAACGCUGAAGAGAGGAUUUUGCUCUUCUUGGAUGAGUUGCGAACGGGUGAGUAACGCGUAGGUAACCUGCCUUGUAGCGGGGGAUAACUAUUGGAAACGAUAGCUAAUACCGCAUAACAAUGGAUGACACAUGUCAUUUAUUUGAAAGGGGCAAAUGCUCCACUACAAGAUGGACCUGCGUUGUAUUAGCUAGUAGGUGAGGUAACGGCUCACCUAGGCGACGAUACAUAGCCGACCUGAGAGGGUGAUCGGCCACACUGGGACUGAGACACGGCCCAGACUCCUACGGGAGGCAGCAGUAGGGAAUCUUCGGCAAUGGGGGCAACCCUGACCGAGCAACGCCGCGUGAGUGAAGAAGGUUUUCGGAUCGUAAAGCUCUGUUGUAAGUCAAGAACGAGUGUGAGAGUGGAAAGUUCACACUGUGACGGUAGCUUACCAGAAAGGGACGGCUAACUACGUGCCAGCAGCCGCGGUAAUACGUAGGUCCCGAGCGUUGUCCGGAUUUAUUGGGCGUAAAGCGAGCGCAGGCGGUUUGAUAAGUCUGAAGUUAAAGGCUGUGGCUCAACCAUAGUUCGCUUUGGAAACUGUCAAACUUGAGUGCAGAAGGGGAGAGUGGAAUUCCAUGUGUAGCGGUGAAAUGCGUAGAUAUAUGGAGGAACACCGGUGGCGAAAGCGGCUCUCUGGUCUGUAACUGACGCUGAGGCUCGAAAGCGUGGGGAGCGAACAGGAUUAGAUACCCUGGUAGUCCACGCCGUAAACGAUGAGUGCUAGGUGUUGGAUCCUUUCCGGGAUUCAGUGCCGCAGCUAACGCAUUAAGCACUCCGCCUGGGGAGUACGACCGCAAGGUUGAAACUCAAAGGAAUUGACGGGGGCCCGCACAAGCGGUGGAGCAUGUGGUUUAAUUCGAAGCAACGCGAAGAACCUUACCAGGUCUUGACAUCCCGAUGCUAUUUCUAGAGAUAGAAAGUUACUUCGGUACAUCGGUGACAGGUGGUGCAUGGUUGUCGUCAGCUCGUGUCGUGAGAUGUUGGGUUAAGUCCCGCAACGAGCGCGACCCCUAUUGUUAGUUGCCAUCAUUCAGUUGGGCACUCUAGCGAGACUGCCGGUAAUAAACCGGAGGAAGGUGGGGAUGACGUCAAAUCAUCAUGCCCCUUAUGACCUGGGCUACACACGUGCUACAAUGGUUGGUACAACGAGUUGCGAGUCGGUGACGGCAAGCUAAUCUCUUAAAGCCAAUCUCAGUUCGGAUUGUAGGCUGCAACUCGCCUACAUGAAGUCGGAAUCGCUAGUAAUCGCGGAUCAGCACGCCGCGGUGAAUACGUUCCCGGGCCUUGUACACACCGCCCGUCACACCACGAGAGUUUGUAACACCCGAAGUCGGUGAGGUAACCUUUUGGAGCCAGCCGCCUAAGGUGGGAUAGAUGAUUGGGGUGAAAUC